Molecule: microRNA precursor, 198 nt
Organism: Oryza sativa Japonica Group (Japanese rice)
Lineage: Eukaryota; Viridiplantae; Streptophyta; Magnoliopsida; Poales; Poaceae
Rfam family: MIR812 microRNA precursor family
Source: Rfam
UUUAAAUACAAUCAUGUGUUUCCGUGUCCAACUUUAGUCUAUCUUAUUUAAAACUUUUUUAUAUGAUUGAUAUUUUUAUUGAUACUAGAUGAUAAAACAUGAAUAUUAUUUUAUGUGACUUAUGUUUUUUAUUUUUUUUAAAAAAUAAAUAAGAUAAACUAUUAAAGUUGAACAUGAAAAUUUAUGGUUACGUUUAAA